ACCAGUGUGGUGUAGUGGUUUGACUGUUGGACUACAGCUCUGAAGACCAGGGUUCCAUUCCCAGCUUGGCCA
Molecule: non-coding RNA, 72 nt
Organism: Phrynosoma platyrhinos (Desert horned lizard)
Lineage: Eukaryota; Metazoa; Chordata; Lepidosauria; Squamata; Phrynosomatidae
Source: the annotation of a GenBank genome assembly